This is a long non-coding RNA of Peromyscus eremicus (cactus mouse), 1462 nucleotides long. RefSeq lists it as uncharacterized. The record is from RefSeq and is a predicted model, not a curated record. The transcript has 2 exons. Lineage: Eukaryota; Metazoa; Chordata; Mammalia; Rodentia; Cricetidae.
AUCUUACAUUUGCCUAGCCUCUGUACAUCCUCGAGAAGGGCAUUGCGGUUCCCAUUUUAAAGAUGAGAACACUAAAGUUCGAAAGGCUUACGUAGCGUCACGAUCUCUAACCUUGCGGAGAAAGACACUGGCUCCAAAGUCCCUUUUAACCUGACACCAUGUUGCCAAAUGUUUGUCAACCCGUCUAAAGCACCUACUGUGUGACAGUCUAUUCUGGUCAGAGGACACGGUCGUGAUGACUGACGGGACGCUGAGGAAAAGACGGUUCUUGCCUUCAACAAGCUUUCAGUCUAGUAACUUUUGUUUCAAGAAAAAUUCAGGCCUGCCAAGCCCGGGGUGGUGGUUUCUGACUCAGAGGCCAUCUGGGGAAUUGAAAUUUGCGGAGCUUUCUUUCUUUCUCGUGCUGUGCUGGGUGGGAGGAGCCGGGGAAACACGAAGUGACCCAGCAACUGCAGGCAGUACAGGCCGACCGGCAGGCUGCCUGGAAAUGGGCGGGGCCUGGCCCUGGGGAGCUGUCGCCAUGGCAACCCAGCCUGUUUCCAGAACAACGUCUCUAACCAGGAAAACAGCUCCCAGGGCCUCCCCCUCUGUAAUCCGCAAAGCGGACUGAAGGCACAAAGCCUCCUUCUGAUCCCGCUCCCCACACGAGGCCAGAACAAAGCCAGGCCUUUGUUCUCUGGGCCCCGGCUUUGUGUGUGUGGCCUGCGACAACAUCCACAAAGCACAAUGACUUCGCUUCUUCCCGAGGCCUCUUUCUUUCACAUCGUAUUUACUGUAAUUUUGGUUUAGCCCCAUUUUACAGAUGCAAGCUCAACAAACGUGAAGGGGCCUAACGUCUAAAACGAUCCUUAAAACCCAGAGACUGUUCAGGCCACCGAGUGACUGCAUCCUGUGCACGGAAGGUUGUCACCACCUCCGCUGAGCCAGCGUGUGACCUCCCAGAAACUGAGCACCGGGGACGGCCUCCACCCUCAAGAUCGGGAACACCGACAGCUCCAAGACGUAGGAUUAUCCCGAAAUGGCCACCUUUACAAAUAAUGUAAAUAUUUAAAUUAUGUGGAUCAGAAGGAAUGCGACUUCAUCGUAAUAAAAAUCUCGCCCUCAAAAUAGAGGGUACUUCACACAUGUAAUCCCAGCACACUCAGAUGCUGAGGCAGAAGGCUUGUCGAGAGUUCCGGGCCAGCCUGGGCUACACAGCAAGACCCUGUCUCAAAGAACACACCUUGGCCGUACAGAAAAACAUGAAGGGAAAACACUGUUGUUCCCCCAGGAACACUUCAAAGGCUUCAAACAAUACUCUCCACCCAGGCGUUAGGGAUUUCCUUGCUCUAAGAUAACUUAUUGGUAAGAAAUGUCCCCACCCAGCCCCAGGGAACAAUAGAGAAGCACUCCCUGAGAGCCCUCAAAAGGCUUUCAUUGGAUAAGUGUUGAUACUAAAUUAAACCCUCACUUCCAAGAACAA